AGGGUUACAGUAUAAAAGAGAAAGAGGGGUCGAAGAAGAUCUGUAAUGGUUGCGCCAUAGGCCGAGCGCUUAUCCCGUAAACGAAGGGGUGGCGUGGUAUUUUCCACGGAGAAAAAGGUUUUCAAUAAUCGUGCGAUUGGCGUAAAUCAACACAAAAACACGCACAAUUUUACUACUGCCUGUGCGUGUUUGGGAAUCCAUGGCUGCUUUCUUGCUUCGAUUUGCAAUCAAGGCGAGAUGAUUUCCCUACAUUUUCUCUCUUAUUUCAUCAUCAUUUUUACUAUGAUUCUGAGUUUCUUUUACUAUUUAAGAUGAUUUCGUGUUAUGUCUGAGUAUGCGAUGAUCAAUCUUCAUCUGGAUCUGUUUACACUUUGUUAUUUGAUACUUGUUAAGCACAGAUUUUUCACCAAAACACUUGGUAUCAAUUUGAAUUUUGAAUUGGAGUAGGUUUUCUUUACUACAUUUCUAAUAAUUUUGGGAUUCAAUUGAUGACCCGGAUCUGAUUUUUUGGCAUGAAUUCGAGUUUUGGGGAUUUAGUUUUUUGAUUAUACUACUAAAAAGAAGAACAUUUUUGUAUCUUCUUUCUCUCGUUUUUAUGUGACGAUGUUGUGAAACAAAUACAAAAUGUUGAAUAUUUUCGUUGAUAAGAUCUUAAAGGUUGUUUUUGUUGGGGAGAAAUCAGAAAUGUAAAUAAAAUUGGCCUCGUGUUAAUAUAUUAAAAAAAUGAUAGCAAGUUUUAAAUAUAUUUUUGUUACCAGUAAUACCUUUUUAGCUAUUUUGAAACUAUAUUGUAAAUAAAUCUUUGAGUUAAAUAGAUUUGGAAAUUCUUUUUUUUUUUCUCUGUUAGGCUCAAGGCGUUUGGUGUAUACUUUUGUCACAUAGAUGUCGAGAAAUAUUUCAUGUUCCUUUAAGGGAGCGUAUUUAUCCAUGUCAUACAUCAAUUUUUUUUUAAAUCAACUAUAAUUAAAAACUUAAUAGUUCAUUAAAAAAUAGGAAUUCCGUAACUAGAAACAUCAAAAUACAUAACUAGAAAAUAAAGACAUUUAGAAAAUCCACAUUAUAUACAAUAAAAUAAAAGCAUGGAAGUUAUAUUUGUCUUCAAAUUUUGUUUUCACCUUUGUAACCCACUUGAAUAUAUAUCCUUUGAAAGGUGAUUCAUGACUGCAAAAAAUAUUUGCAUUUCCGCUAGUAGUUUGUUCAGGGGUAUACAAAAAAACCGCAAAACCGAGCCGAUCCGGCAAACCCGAAUCCGGAAAAACCAAAACCGAAACCGAAAAAACCGGGUAUCUACUCGUCGAUUUCGGUUUGAAUAUUUAGAUAUCUGCGGAUAUCAGAACCGAAUCGUUAUACAGGCCGGCUCAACCAAUUUGGGGCUCUAAGCGAACCAAAAAUUUUGGGCCUUUUUCAUUACUAUCAACUUUGAGAAGUAAAGGUUAAUUAGUUAACAUUUAAAAAAUCACAGCAAUGAUCCACAAACAAAUGAAAUAUAUAGUUUUUGGUUUCAUUAACCCUAUGAUCAAAUUUUCAUAUAUGUGAGUUACUGUUAUAUGUGAGUUACAACAGUUUGAUCAUCGAAUUAUAGUUUAAUCUAAAAAUAUUAUUAAUGUAAAUCUAAGGUAUUGUCUUCUCUUGCUUUAAAUGGCGUAAAUGCUUCGCCUAAUUAAGGUGGUUAUUUGAUGUAAAAAUACGUUGUCAUAAUAAAAAAGUUCUUAAAUUAUCUUGUUAUUGUGUACAUUCCACAUGUAUUCUUGUUAUUGUCAUAAUAAUUAAGGCUGAUUUACCCUAAUGCUUUAUAAUAUAUUAUAUUGUAUAAACAAAUUUUUAAAAUUAAACCCCAUUUAUUAAUUUAAUUACAUUCCACAUGCAUCCUUUCAUUAAGUAAUAACUAUUAACCCUAACAAGUCUACACUCUAGAGUCUACAAUACAAAUAUACAAUCAAUAUCAAUAUAUCAUAUGACAUGAAGACAAGCUAACAAGAUUAGAAGAAGAACAGAUGGAUCAUAGAACUUGCAAGUAGUUUAUUACCUUUUAUGGAGAUUGGAGAAUGCAGGCUUCAAUGGAGAAGGAAGAAACCUGAAACCGUAUGCAGUGGAGAAGGAAGAAACAAUAAGUGUAUGCAGUUGAUGCAGUUGUGCUAUGAAUCAGAACUCAAAAGUCAGAAGUCAAAAGAAGAAGAUUAGAAGAUGAUUGAGCAGAUCAGCAGAGCAGGCGAUGAGGGAUUGAGGGCGCAAACACAGAAAUUGUAUACAGUGGAACUAUGGAAGAAGAAACGUUGUUUUUUUAGCCGUUUAGAGUCUUAGCCGAUUAGGGCUAUAAUACAUGGACUCCUUGGUUUAUGGGGCCCUUUUGAUGUGGGGGCUCUAAGCGCUAACUUUGAUAUACAUUGCAUUAAGCUGCCCUGCCGUCANNNNN
This 2413-nucleotide long non-coding RNA is filed under the name Lactuca sativa (garden lettuce). RNAcentral describes it as "long non-coding RNA (LSAT_LNC002689)". The record is from RNAcentral. Lineage: Eukaryota; Viridiplantae; Streptophyta; Magnoliopsida; Asterales; Asteraceae.